Molecule: ribosomal RNA, 270 nt
Filed under: uncultured archaeon
Lineage: Archaea
Description: partial 16S ribosomal RNA
Rfam family: Archaeal small subunit ribosomal RNA
Source: RNAcentral
CAGCGGCCCUAGUGGUGAUCGUUAUUAUUGGGCCUAAAGCGUCCGUAGCCGGUUCGGUAAAUCUCUGGGUAAAUCGUUGGGCUUAACUCAACGAAUUCUGGGGAGACUGCCGAACUUGGGACCGGGAGAGGUCGGAGGUACUCCAGGGGUAGGGGUGAAAUCCUGUAAUCCUUGGGGGACCACCGGUGGCGAAAGCGUCCGACCAGAACGGGUCCGACGGUAAGGGACGAAGCCCUGGGGCGCGAACCGGAUUAGAUACCCGAGUAGUCC